CAGCAGCCGCGGGAAUACGGAGGGUGCAAGCGUUAUCCGGAUUUAUUGGGUUUAAAGGGUCCGUAGGCGGACUUAUAAGUCAGUGGUGAAAGCCUGUCGCUUAACGAUAGAACUGCCAUUGAUACUGUAAGUCUUGAGUAUAUUUGAGGUAGCUGGAAUAAGUAGUGUAGCGGUGAAAUGCAUAGAUAUUACUUAGAACACCAAUUGCGAAGGCAGGAUACCAAGAUAUAACUGACGCUGAGGGACGAAAGCGUGGGUAGCGAACAGGAUUAGAUACCCCCGUAGUCCCUGUCUCUUAUAA
This 301-nucleotide ribosomal RNA is filed under the name uncultured bacterium. RNAcentral's name for it is "partial 16S ribosomal RNA". It matches the Rfam family "Bacterial small subunit ribosomal RNA", at positions 509 to 809 of the family's 1533-position model. The record is from RNAcentral.